This 207-nucleotide ribosomal RNA is filed under the name uncultured bacterium. RNAcentral describes it as "partial 16S ribosomal RNA". It matches the Rfam family "Bacterial small subunit ribosomal RNA", at positions 568 to 774 of the family's 1533-position model. The record is from RNAcentral.
CUCGUAGGCGGUUCGUCGCGUCCGGUGUGAAAGUCCAUCGCCUAACGGUGGAUCUGCGCCGGGUACGGGCGGGCUGGAGUGCGGUAGGGGAGACUGGAAUUCCCGGUGUAACGGUGGAACGUGUAGAUAUCGGGAAGAACACCAAUGGCGAAGGCAGGUCUCUGGGCCGUUACUGACGCUGAGGAGCGAAAGCGUGGGGAGCGAACA